UUUAGUUAUGCAAGCUUCGAAGCUGUGGGCUAUGAUCUGAAAGAGUUGAAUCUGGAGCAGUUGGUGCAAAGGGUUUUAGUUUGCUUCAAACCAAGUAAUUUCUCUGUUGCCGUGCAUGUGGAUGUUGAUUGUCACUCAUUUGAACAGACCUGUCUGCUGGAUGUUAAAGGAUACCGUUGCCGGGAGAGUAGCAUCGAAGAGCUUGGUUCAGGGGGUUCCAUCAUUUACCAGAGCUUCAACGGCAUUGGGGGAUGUGGAUCACCUAGAUCAACUCUGAGUUGCCUCUGGGAAGAGGAGGAAGAGUAUUAUUAUAAUUAAAACGGCUUAUUUUCUUAUGUUAUAAUUAUUAAAUAAAUUGCUUCCCAGGCAUUGCCUGGUGAUAUAGCAUGGGGUGUGUUUCUAUUCUAGUACUUUUUUGUCUUUUAUCAAGUCAAUUGCUAUGCCAGCAAACCUGAACUUGUUACUGCCAUUUGUACGGCAGAAUGUGGAGCUUCUCCAUUU
This 501-nucleotide long non-coding RNA is filed under the name Gossypium barbadense (sea-island cotton). Its description in RNAcentral is "long non-coding RNA (GBAR_LNC022317)". The record is from RNAcentral. Lineage: Eukaryota; Viridiplantae; Streptophyta; Magnoliopsida; Malvales; Malvaceae.